CACGAAACAGGUGUCAUUCCCCGUGCAGCCAAUAGGGCCACGUCGCUGGCUUCUUCUCAGUCGUUGGAUCACGUCGCUAGCUACUUAUCAAGCGUUGGAUCAAUGCUGAGGAACACGUGCGGUGCAAACAGGCCAUGUGUGCUAGAGCUAUACAUCCAGAACCCUCCAUCAAAACCUGGAACAGAGAAGAGGGCAAGUUAUACACGAGACUCUCCGGCAAACUCUGAAAAAUAAAAGCGGCCACGUUUAAACAAGGGCGACCAUACUGCUACCCUAGACAAACUAGGCAACGGAAGAAAGCCAAUCGAAUCAUCAGGAACAUCAAUCUCUAAGGAAGUAACGAAUAGCGCAAAGACCAAGGCUCAAAGCUGGUCUGACAUCAAUAAUGCAGGUCAAAAUCACUCCACUUUUCAGAGCUAGAGCUAACACAAUGAGCUUAGGCAUCUUCACAUCAUACUAAUUGACCAAAUGAUAUAACAAGCUUUGCAAAAUCUGCAAUCCAAAAUAGUACUAAGCGACAAUGGCUUCUAAUACACUGACCAUUAUGCUUCAGGCUCAAAGCUGGUCUUACAUCAAUAAUGCAGGUCAAAAUCACUCCACUUUUCAGAGCUUGAGCCAACACAAUGAGCUUAGGCAUCUUCACAUCAUACUAAUUGACCAAAUGAUAUAACAAGCUUUGCAAAAUCUGCAAUCCAAGAUAGUACUAAGCGACAAUUGCUUCUAAUACACUGACCAUUAUGCUUCAGAAACAAUGAAAAGCUUAGGCAAAGCACCAUCCAAGAGAGUGGCAGCGCCGUCCCCCACGACGGCCCCUCCACCUGCAACCCCUGGAUCAUGAUGCAGCCGGCUCCUCCCCAGCAGAUCUCGCAGAUGGGAACAUUAACCUUGCUAGCUACGAAUCCAUGAAGCCCAAGUGGAUCGAAACAAUCUAGAACAAUUGGACAUCUGAGAGGGAAACAGAAAGUUACUGCUGCUCGAUUUUAGUGCAGAGACACCACCUGUUGCCCUUCAGCUCUUUGAACAGAGAAAGGCAGAUGGUGGCGGCAAGGGCAAGGUGACCUGCUGAGUGCUGAUGUUAGCCUGGAAGUGGGUGAUCUACAUAUGCUUCCUGCUACUGCAUUGUUACCAUAGAGAAGUCAGAGACAAAUGAUCUCUGCUUCUGCUACGAAGGAUUCUGAAAGGUAUUUAUUUACUGCUCCUUGCGCUACUCACAAAGUGACUAUUGCGAAUCCAUAAUAGUAUAUAAUAUUCUGUACGGUAAACAUGCAUAUAUACUUAUUUGCUAUCUAAUUCGUGCUAACAAAUAUCAACUAUUGAUUCCUA
Panicum virgatum (switchgrass) is the source of this 1323-nucleotide long non-coding RNA. RefSeq lists it as uncharacterized. NCBI's taxonomy places the organism in Eukaryota, Viridiplantae, Streptophyta, Magnoliopsida, Poales, Poaceae. The transcript has 7 exons. The record is from RefSeq and is a predicted model, not a curated record.